RNAcentral lists this ribosomal RNA (532 nucleotides) under uncultured Actinomycetes bacterium. RNAcentral's name for it is "bacterial SSU rRNA". It matches the Rfam family "Bacterial small subunit ribosomal RNA", at positions 909 to 1442 of the family's 1533-position model. Lineage: Bacteria; Bacillati; Actinomycetota; Actinomycetes. The record is from RNAcentral.
AUUGACGGGGGCCCGCACAAGCGGCGGAGCAUGCGGAUUAAUUCGAUGCAACGCGAAGAACCUUACCAAGGCUUGACAUAUACCGGAAAAGUGCAGAAAUGUACUCCCCGCAAGGUCGGUAUACAGGUGGUGCAUGGUUGUCGUCAGCUCGUGUCGUGAGAUGUUGGGUUAAGUCCCGCAACGAGCGCAACCCUCGUUCUAUGUUGCCAGCACGUAAAGGUGGGAACUCAUGGGAGACUGCCGGGGUCAACUCGGAGGAAGGUGGGGAUGACGUCAAAUCAUCAUGCCCCUUAUGUCUUGGGCUUCACGCAUGCUACAAUGGCCGAUACAGAGGGCUGCAAUACCGCAAGGUGGAGCGAAUCCCAAAAAGUCGGUCUCAGUUCGGAUUGAGGUCUGCAACUCGACCUCAUGAAGUCGGAGUCGCUAGUAAUCGCAGAUCAGCAACGCUGCGGUGAAUACGUUCCCGGGCCUUGUACACACCGCCCGUCAAGUCAUGAAAGUCGGUAACACCCGAAGCCAGUGGCCUAACCGC